This 253-nucleotide ribosomal RNA is filed under the name uncultured bacterium. RNAcentral's name for it is "partial 16S ribosomal RNA". It matches the Rfam family "Bacterial small subunit ribosomal RNA", at positions 524 to 776 of the family's 1533-position model. The record is from RNAcentral.
UACGAAGGGGGCUAGCGUUGCUCGGAAUCACUGGGCGUAAAGCGCACGUAGGCGGAUUGCUAAGUCAGGGGUGAAAUCCUGGAGCUCAACUCCAGAACUGCCCUUGAUACUGGCGGUCUCGAGUACGGGAGAGGUGAGUGGAACUGCGGGUGUAGAGGUGAAAUUCGUAGAUAUUCGCAAGAACACCAGUGGCGAAGGCGGCUCACUGGCCCGGUACUGACGCUGAGGUGCGAAAGCGUGGGGAGCAAACAGG